Molecule: ribosomal RNA, 204 nt
Filed under: uncultured bacterium
Lineage: Bacteria
Description: partial 16S ribosomal RNA
Rfam family: Bacterial small subunit ribosomal RNA
Source: RNAcentral
GCUCCGAUGGAGGGGGAUAACUACUGGAAACGGUAGCUAAUACCGCAUAACGUCGCAAGACCAAAGAGGGGACCUUCGGGCCUCUUGCCAUCGGAUGUGCCCAGAUGGGAUUAGCUAGUAGGUGGGGUAACGGCUCACCUAGGCGACGAUCCCUAGCUGGUCUGAGAGGAUGACCAGCCACACUGGAACUGAGACACGGUCCAG